GACAGAUCUGUGUUAGCCCAGAAACAUGAAAAUGAUUAGUUUUCUGCUCUGUGGAUUUCUGCUUUAUGUACAAGACUCCUAUGGACAGAUUGUGAUGACUCAGUUGCCAGAUUCUGUUACUGUGUCACCAGGAGAAACUGUCAUCAUCACAUGUAAAUCUGGUAGUAGCAUAAGUAAUUAUGUAGCCUGGUACCAACAGAAAGCAGGACAAGCUCCAAAGCCUCUUAUCUAUGCUGCAAGCUACAAACACACAGGGACCCCAGACAGGUUCAGCGGCACUGGGUCUGGUACUGAUUUCACUUUCACAAUCAGCGGAGUGCAAGCAGAAGAUGCAGCAGAUUAUUACUGUCAGCAGUAUCAGAGCAACCCUCUCACAGUGAUAUAG
Molecule: non-coding RNA, 385 nt
Organism: Bombina bombina (fire-bellied toad)
Lineage: Eukaryota; Metazoa; Chordata; Amphibia; Anura; Bombinatoridae
Source: the annotation of a RefSeq genome assembly